UGUGUGCAUCAUUUCGUUUUGUUGAAAUCAGGACAUUUAUAUUUAGUGGAGGAAGGAACACGCGAAUGCAGUUCAUGCCGUCCCUAGCAUAUUACGCUUGUGGCGACGUCAAAUUAUGAUAACGGACAAACUUGCAAGACAUUUUCAUUAAUCCGUAUUUUUUAUAGAUAACCCUGUAAUCUGAAUGCUAUUUGGUGUACCAAAUUCAACUUUAAAAGUACUUUUUAUUGGUUAAGUUGUCAAAGCCGAAAAUUAAUCUUCACGAAAUCAAAUCUCUGUUUU
RNAcentral lists this long non-coding RNA (282 nucleotides) under Mytilus galloprovincialis (Mediterranean mussel). The record is from RNAcentral. Lineage: Eukaryota; Metazoa; Mollusca; Bivalvia; Mytilida; Mytilidae.